GCUUUUGUCCUGCGCGCGCAGAUUAACGCAAACCCGGAAGCGGAUCGGGUGGAGUGUAGGUCAUAUCGCCGCGUUGACUAGAUAACGAAGGACAAUGCAUAUAUACAAAAUUGCUGUAUUGCCUGGUGAUAUGCAGCUGUACCUGUGACAUCAUAAUUGCACCCUCCGACAUGAUAUCUCUUCCAAAUGCUUGAUGAAAAAGGUGGGAGGAUCACUUGAGCCAGGGAGUUGAAGGCUGCAGUGAGCCCUGUUUUUGCCACCACACUCCAGCUUGGAGAUAGGAGAAAACUGCCUUAUGGCUGUAGGUGAGACAUGCUGGUGGCAAUACUGCUGUUUACUGCACUGAGAUGUUUGUGUAAAGUCAAACAUAAAUCUACCCUACAUGCACAUCGAGGAAGUGAGGAGCGUCUCUGCCUGGCCACCCAUUGUCUGAGAUGUGAGGAGCCUCUCUGCCCGGCUGCCCAGUCUGGGAAAUGAGGAGCACCUCUGCACGGCCGCCAUCCCAUCUA
This 509-nucleotide long non-coding RNA is filed under the name Homo sapiens (human). RNAcentral describes it as "non-protein coding lnc-ZNF611-5:1". Lineage: Eukaryota; Metazoa; Chordata; Mammalia; Primates; Hominidae. The record is from RNAcentral.